UGGCGACCGGCGCACGGGUGCGUAACGCGUAUGCAACCUACCUUUAACAGGGGGAUAACACCGAGAAAUUGGUACUAAUACCCCAUAAUAUCAUAGAAGGCAUCUUUUAUGGUUGAAAAUUCCGAUGGUUAGAGAUGGGCAUGCGUUGUAUUAGCUAGUUGGUGGGGUAACGGCUCACCAAGGCGACGAUACAUAGGGGGACUGAGAGGUUAACCCCCCACACUGGUACUGAGACACGGACCAG
RNAcentral lists this ribosomal RNA (244 nucleotides) under uncultured bacterium. RNAcentral's name for it is "partial 16S ribosomal RNA". It matches the Rfam family "Bacterial small subunit ribosomal RNA", at positions 89 to 334 of the family's 1533-position model. The record is from RNAcentral.